Long non-coding RNA from Lagopus leucura (white-tailed ptarmigan), 991 nucleotides. RefSeq lists it as uncharacterized. The record is from RefSeq and is a predicted model, not a curated record. The transcript has 4 exons. NCBI's taxonomy places the organism in Eukaryota, Metazoa, Chordata, Aves, Galliformes, Phasianidae.
AUGACUGAUGUCUCUGAACAGCCUGAGGCAGAUAUUAAGGAAAGAUGAGCAGCUACAGUGAACGUCCAGGGGUGCACUAACCACAAGCCUUGCUGUCAGAAAGUACAGAAGCAGCUUCUUCAGGACAUCCCCUCAGACUUUUUUCUGUCGCCUGAGUAAUACCUUUCCUUUCUUUGUCUGCCAAGGAUGGAUGAUGGCAGAAUUCAUCAGCGUGUAGGACGUGCCAACACCAGAAAUUCCAUCAGAGGCAGUAUCAUCUCCCAGCCAACUUCACUCCUCACCAGGUACGGAUUCAGAGUUGGUUUUUGGAUGUGCUUGCUUAUUGUUACUAUAAGAAAGCCACCGUUUUUGUGCCUUGAUAGCUCUUCAAAACUUGCAACUGGACUUAGGAUAAACAGUACAUCUGCAGUUGACAUUCCAGAGUUUGCAGCAUAAACACAUUUUUUGGAGAUAAAAGCUAUUAGAUGGAUGCAGAAAUUGAUUUAAAAAGUCCAUCACCAACUAGAAACCCAACAAUACAUUCUCUAAAUUCCAAGACCUGCAGGAGCUGCUGCUGCUAAUGGUGUAUGUGAGUACCCUCAAGAUCUCUCAGGUUACUCUUUGCAGGAUGAGUUAUCAUACACAGGUGCUCAGGAACAUCCUGGUAAGUCAAAACCAAUUGCUUGUUUCUUUGGGAGAGAGAAGAGGACAUAGCUCAUUUCAAAUAGCAAAUUACAAAAGUCAGUGAUAAAACAGUAAACAAAAGGAACUAUUUUAGGAGAAGAGCAGAAAAGCCACUAGGCAGCAUUCACUUCCAUGCCAUUUUGGUUUUUAUGCAGUAGAACAGUUAUCCUAGCAAUUAAGUGCUGCAUUACUUGGUAUGCAGAACAUUUGAAGAUAGAUUAUUAAGGAAAGGGGACAGAAAACACACCACAAAGACUUACCAACACAUUGCACGUAGCUUUUUUUUUAACAGUGUAUAAGAAAAAUAUGCUGUGUUACCAUAACUAAA